RNAcentral lists this long non-coding RNA (529 nucleotides) under Ananas comosus (pineapple). RNAcentral describes it as "long non-coding RNA (ACOM_LNC041848)". Lineage: Eukaryota; Viridiplantae; Streptophyta; Magnoliopsida; Poales; Bromeliaceae. The record is from RNAcentral.
UUUGCAUAGAUGCAAACCUAGGGCUCCAAAUUGGGGUUUUGCUCAAUAGUGAGGUUUGAUCUCAAUUGAUGGUCUCUAAACCUAAUUGUUAGGUGUCUAAACGCGUUGGCAAAGACGGAUUCAGCAUUCGUCGAGCCGGUGAGAAGUUAUCGGCAAAACAAGACUGAUCGAGCUUCGUUUCCACCUACGAGGUCGAAGCGACGUUGAAGCAAGUGCCGAAUAGUGUUCUUAGCACCCCGACAUCGUCGAAGGGUGGGUGGUGUCAUCCCAAAGCAACCGGGUUCCUCUCUAUGUCUUAGAACUUCAUGAUCUGCAUCUCUUGCAUGUUGCAUGUAGGAUUUCAUGUUAUUCCAUUCCUUAUGCUUGCUAAUGAUAUCAUUGUAUGAGUUGAAUGCAUGAUGAUGGUUAGAUGAGGAUUGGGUCUUGACAUUGAAUUCUAUAGUGCCGAGAAAAGAGAUGAACUCGAUGAUGGUUAAAGACAUAAUGAAUGACAUUGACUGUUAAACAAACAAGAACGAGUGGCAUAUAA